GCCGCGUUAGCUCAGUUGGCAGAGCAUCCGCCUUGUAAGCGGAAUGUCGGGAGUUCGAUCCUCCCACGCGGCU
Molecule: transfer RNA, 73 nt
Filed under: Nocardioides sp. TRM66260-LWL
Lineage: Bacteria; Bacillati; Actinomycetota; Actinomycetes; Propionibacteriales; Nocardioidaceae
Also listed under: 1 other name
Description: tRNA-Thr
Rfam family: tRNA
About the family: Transfer RNA (tRNA) molecules are approximately 80 nucleotides in length. Their secondary structure includes four short double-helical elements and three loops (D, anti-codon, and T loops). Further hydrogen bonds mediate the characteristic L-shaped molecular structure. tRNAs have two regions of fundamental functional importance: the anti-codon, which is responsible for specific mRNA codon recognition, and the 3' end, to which the tRNAs corresponding amino acid is attached (by aminoacyl-tRNA synthetases). tRNAs cope with the degeneracy of the genetic code in two manners: having more than one tRNA (with a specific anti-codon) for a particular amino acid; and 'wobble' base-pairing, i.e. permitting non-standard base-pairing at the 3rd anti-codon position.
Source: RNAcentral